AUUGAACGCUGGCGGCAGGCCUAACACAUGCAAGUCGAACGGAAACAGGAAGCAGCUUGCUGCUUUGCUGACGAGUGGCGGACGGGUGAGUAAUGUCUGGGAAACUGCCCGAUGGAGGGGGAUAACUACUGGAAACGGUAGCUAAUACCGCAUAACGUCGCAAGACCAAAGAGGGGGACCUUAGGCCUCUUGCCAUCGGAUGUGCCCAGAUGGGAUUAGCUAGUAGGUGGGGUAACGGCUCACCUAGGCGACGAUCCCUAGCUGGUCUGAGAGGAUGACCAGCCACACUGGAACUGAGACACGGUCCAGACUCCUACGGGAGGCAGCAGUGGGGAAUAUUGCUCAAUGGGCGCAAGCCUGAUGCAGCCAUGCCGCGUGUAUGAAGAAGGCCUUCGGGUUGUAAAGUACUUUCAGCGGGGAGGAAGGGAGUAAAGUUAAUACCUUUGCUCAUUGACGUUACCCGCAGAAGAAGCACCGGCUAACUCUGUG
Molecule: ribosomal RNA, 489 nt
Filed under: uncultured bacterium
Lineage: Bacteria
Description: partial 16S ribosomal RNA
Rfam family: Bacterial small subunit ribosomal RNA
Source: RNAcentral